UUAAGAGAUGGGAAUCCCAGACCACCUGACCUGCCUCCUGAGAAAUCUGUAUGCAGGUGAAGAAGCAACAGUUAGAACUGGACAUGAAACAACGGACUGGUUCCAAAUUGGGAAAGAAGUAUGUCAGGCUGUAUACUGUCACCCUGCUUAUUUAAUAUAUAUGCAGAGUACAUCAUGAAAAAUACCAGGCUGGAUGAAGCACAAGCUGGAAUCAAGAUUGUUGGGAGAAAUAUCAAUAACCUCAGAUAUACAGAUCACACCACCCUUAUGGCAGAAAGCGAAGAGGAACUGAAGAGCUUCUUGAUGAAAAUGAAAGAGGACAGUGCAAAAGUUGGCUUAAAACUCAACAUUCAAAAGACUACGAUCAUGGCAUCUGGUCCCAUCACUUCAUGGCAAAUAGAUGGGGAAACAACGAAAACAACAACAGACUGUUGGAGAAGGCUCUUGAGAGUCCCUUGGAUUGUGAGGAGAUCCAACCAGUCCAUCCUAAAGGAGAUCAGUCCUGAAAUUUCAUUGGAAGGACUGAUGCUGAAGCAGAAGCUCCAAUACUUUGGCCACCUGAUGAGAAGAACUGACUCAUUUGAAAAGACCCUGAUGCUGGGAAAGAUAGAAGGCAGGAGAAGAAGGGGAUGACAGAGGAUGAGAUGGUUGGAUGGCCUCACUGACUCGAUGGCCUCUCUUACUUAAGUUUGAGGAUCUUCCUGACCCAGGGACUGAACCUGUAUCUCCUGCAUUGGUAGACGAAUUCUGUACCACUGAGGCACCUGGGGUCCCCCAGGAACUUCUUCAUUCAUCCAGGGGCAUGGACCACCAAACCUGGGCCUCCUUGAAUGUGUCACUGGGCCCCAAAGGCCCUGGUGCAGUCCAUGCCAUCAAGACCAAGUCUACAGGUGGUAUAAGCAGGUGUCCCUGGCAGAGGGUCCUAGAACCCACAUGGGCCUGGCAAUCAGCGGCAGCAGUAUGACCUGUAUGUGGUGAGCAGCUGGUAUGUUCAGGAACUGUGCCAUGUGCCGGUGGCACGAAGGUGAAUGAGGCAGGCAGGCUGGUAUAUCUGGGUCCAGAAUUUGUGUGUAGUCAUUGCAGAGAGGCACAUCUGCAGAUCUGAGAACACUGGAUCUUGCUCACAUUCGGCCAGAGGAAGACUCCUGGG
Long non-coding RNA from Dama dama (fallow deer), 1150 nucleotides. RefSeq lists it as uncharacterized. NCBI's taxonomy places the organism in Eukaryota, Metazoa, Chordata, Mammalia, Artiodactyla, Cervidae. The transcript has 4 exons. The record is from RefSeq and is a predicted model, not a curated record.